GAUGAACGCUGGCGGCGUGCCUAAUACAUGCAAGUCGAACGCUUCACAUAUGUGAAGAGUGGCGAACGGGUGAGUAAUACAUAAGUAACCUGGCCUUUACAGGGGGAUAACUGUUGGAAACGAUAGCUAAGACCGCAUAGGUGUGAUAACCGCAUGGAGAUGACAUGAAAUAUGCUACGGCAUAGGUAGAGGAUGGACUUAUGGCGCAUUAGCUAGUUGGAGGGGUAACGGCCCACCAAGGCGACGAUGCGUAGCCGACCUGAGAGGGUGACCGGCCACACUGGGACUGAGACACGGCCCAGACUCCUACGGGAGGCAGCAGUAGGGAAUUUUCGGCAAUGGGGGAAACCCUGACCGAGCAACGCCGCGUGAAGGAAGAAGUAAUUCGUUAUGUAAACUUCUGUCAUAGAGGAAGAACGGUGCGUGUAGGGAAUGACAUGCAAGUGACGGUAC
This 453-nucleotide ribosomal RNA is filed under the name uncultured bacterium. RNAcentral describes it as "bacterial SSU rRNA". It matches the Rfam family "Bacterial small subunit ribosomal RNA", at positions 28 to 478 of the family's 1533-position model. The record is from RNAcentral.